Molecule: non-coding RNA, 710 nt
Organism: Camellia sinensis
Lineage: Eukaryota; Viridiplantae; Streptophyta; Magnoliopsida; Ericales; Theaceae
Source: RefSeq, a predicted model, not a curated record
UAUUAUGGCCAGCUCAUGAGUCCAACCCAUAUAUUUAAGGUCCACAGAUAAAGUGGGUCUGAAAAUUGAGCCUCCUCCACUUCUUCUUCUUCUUUUUCUUCUCUCUCCUGUGAAUUAUUUCUUGCUCUUGGAGAACUUCCCUGAAGAUCAUGUAGGUACUCAUACUCUGAGACUAACACUUUGAUUGAACCCAUUGGGUACUGUGAACCACCGAGAUUCUCUCCCUUUGGACCUGGACAGCUCAACCGGAAAUGGACCAGCACUUAUGCUCUGGCCGAAGAAUAUAGGUAGAACAACAACGACGUGAGGUUCUUGGUGGACAACUCUCCGAAGAAGAAGUUGCUGUGCUUGUAGAAUGGUUUUGUCGUAACGAUUGUUCUCAACAGAUUAAUUUGGGUACUCUCUCUCUCUCUCUAUGUAUAUACAUGUACGUGUGUGUAUGUGCUAUAUUCUAAUUUGAUUUGCCUCUUUCCAGUUCAAUUUUCUGAAUGAUGAAGCUAUACAACUUAGGGUUUGAUUUUCAUUAAAAAAUUUAUUAGUGACAAUUUGAAUUCAUGUGAUUUGAUGCAUGAUGCAUUAUUUUUGCUGAUUAGUUAGACUGAUGGAAUGUGUGAGUAUAAACAUGUAUAAAUUUCACAUAUUGGCUCUUGUUGUCAACCAACUAGUGUGUUUGCUCAUUGAAUGAAGAAACUGAAGUAAUUAGACAUUUA